GUGAACCACUUUUAACGGCCGCGGUAUCCUAACCGUGCAAAGGUAGCAUAAUCACUUGUCCCCUAAAUAGGGACUAGCAUGAACGGCUAAACGAGGGCCCAACUGUCUCCUAUAGCCAACCAAUAAACCUGAUCUCCCAGUACAAAAGCUGGGAUAAACCCAUUAGACGAGAAGACCCUGUGGAGCUUAAAGCCCAAGUAUCAACACAAACUACCAUUGAUACACGCUUUCAGUUGGGGCGACUUUGGAGUAAAACAAAACCUCCACGACACUACCACAGCGUAACCUAAGACCUACACGUCAAACCAUAAAUACUAAGACCCAGUCAAACUGAUCAACGGACCAAGUUACCCCAGGGAUAACAGCGCCAUCCUCCCCAAGAGUCCAUAUCGCCAGGAGGGCUUACGACCUCGAUGUUGGAUCAGGACACCCAGGUGGUGCAGCCGCUACCAAAGGUUCGUUUGUUCAACGACUAACGUCCUACGUGAUCUGAGUUUCA
Molecule: ribosomal RNA, 499 nt
Filed under: Tarentola mauritanica (Moorish gecko)
Lineage: Eukaryota; Metazoa; Chordata; Lepidosauria; Squamata; Phyllodactylidae
Description: partial 16S ribosomal RNA
Rfam family: Bacterial large subunit ribosomal RNA
Source: RNAcentral